Vidua chalybeata is the source of this 3152-nucleotide long non-coding RNA. RefSeq lists it as uncharacterized. NCBI's taxonomy places the organism in Eukaryota, Metazoa, Chordata, Aves, Passeriformes, Viduidae. The record is from RefSeq and is a predicted model, not a curated record. The transcript is spliced from 2 exons.
CCCGCCUCUCGCCGCCUCGCAACGCCCGGGCUGCCCGCCGCGAACGCCUGAGCAAAACACCCGACCGCGGCUCCGAAACGGGUUGCUCCAGAGGCGGAAGACAUUUUAGCCGAAAAACAACAUUGAACAACCGUCUAGUUUAAAAUUGUUCGAACAUCAGACAGCCUUCCUCCAGUGGAAGUACGUGCGGGAGCUUUCAUGGAGCCGAAAAUGGAUUUAGCUCUGAGUGGUGCUCACAGAACAUCUGCCCAUCAGGUUGGACAUCAGCAAGGAUUUUUUCCCUGAAAGGUUGUCAAGCACUGGCAUGGUGGUAGACUCACCAUCCGUGGAGGUGUGCAAGAACCAACUGAACUGAAACACUGAGUGCUCAGCUCUGGUUGACAAGGUGCUGAUCAAUCGAGGGUUGGACUUGGUAAUCUUGGAGAUGUGCUAAGUCACAGGUUUCCUGUCUCUUGGGGUCCCAGAGAGUCCCAGGCUGUGCACCCCACAUGUUAGGGAAGAAAUGACAGUUAGACCCACUGGAAAAUAUCUUCUAAUAGGAAGAAUUUUUCCAGGAUUCAGAAUUUCUUAGUUGAGAAUCUUGUUUUGCUCAGUUCAGUAGCCAAGCCAAUGACUGUCAAGUAUUCCUUCCUUCCCUCCCUUGCUCCCUUCCCUUCCAUCUGAGAGUAGAAUCAUAGAAUGUUAAAGCUCAUCUAGUCCCACCUACCCUGCCAUGGGUAGGGACACCUUCCACUAGAUCAGGCUGCUCAGGGUUCUGUCCAGCCUGGCCUUGGACACUUCCAGGAGUGGGGCAGCCACAGCUUCUCUGGGCAACCUGUGCCAGUAUCUAUCUCACAUAACAAGUGAGACUACAAUUAGAAAAGUAGUCAGUAUUAAAUACCUUGUUCAUUGGGGCUGUUCUCUGGAGAGAUGGAAGAUUCAAACAGAUUCUCAGCUAGGAAGAACAUCCUAGAGCUCAGCUGAUAGCCUGGCUGUUCUACAUCAGAGCGUAUCACUUAGAACAGGCCUCUCUAUAAAUUCCAAAGAACCGUUGGAGGUGACUGCCUGACUUGGGAAGCUUGUUCCAUGGGCUUUAGGACACUGAGCAGCUUGUUGGAGCAGACUGGAAUACAGCUCUGAGCAACCUGAUCUGACUUUGCAGGUAGAUCCAGGUCACUCUGGUCCCUUCCAGCCUGGAUUACUGUGUGCUCCCCUGGAACUCUUCCUAACAGCUGAGGGAGCAGCUGGGGGAGGCAGGUGAUGCUCGGCAGCAGACUUGGACACUAACAGAAGUUCCUCAGAGAUCCUGGUAUUGAUAACCACAUAAGCUCUUUGUUCACCAUUGAAUGGGACCUGAUUUUCAUUUUUAAUUUCUAUGUAUCUCAUAUAUAGAGUGUGAAGCCUCCAGACUACAUCUAAGAUGACUUUUUGAUUGUACCAGCAUCACAUUUACCUCUUUCUUCCUCAAUCACAUCAUCUCAUACUCCUGUGCUGAGAACCACAUUCAGUGCACUAAAAACCACUGCCUUUAUUUUCCUUAAAUUAUUUUUUAUUUGUACUAAAACUCCUUGGUUUAGAGAAUCAGACAGUAACAGAAGGUGGCCAGUGGAAAACCUGUCUACAAAUUCUAAAUCCCCUUUCCCAGUAUUGCCAAAGACCAAGGUUUCUGAUUUGGCUCAUGACCAGCAAGCACAAGCUCACGGGCUACAAAUCAGGCUCAGCAAAGGGGGGAUGGGGUUUGCUCUCAACACAAGACAAAUAUAAUGGAAUCUAGGAACAGGCAAAAAGCUAAAUUCCAUGCUUAAUUAUAGUUGUGGAUAAAUUUAAUUCAAAAUUAUACUGCUGAUUAUACUUGGUACAGCUCUCUACAGCUUUCCAAAGGAGAAAAUUCCGUCCUCAGUGAAUUUUGAAUCCUACUGUUGAAUUAGAAGUUUGGGAAAGUUAAAACAGCAAAAACACCCCACACCCCAAAAAGAGACAGAUGGCUGUCACAGAUACACUAUAAUCACAUGACAGCACCUCCCACUGUGCCCUACAUAUCGUACAACGAACCUCCCCAGCCACUCCAGAUGCUUCCCGUUAUCUGUUGUGAACAAGCAGCUGCUGCAGCGGCAAUAGCCCAAGUGCUGUGAGUCAGUCAGUAUUAAUGGCACAAAACCCCUAUCCCUGGCUAAAGCUGCGAGGCAAAAACAAGAUUGCUUACAAAAGGUGUGGCCCAAUUUCAAUUGUUCUGCACACAGGUAAUGGUUGCACUGCAAAUACUCCUAAAGCUGAGCAUUGCUCCCCCGAGCGCAGGGAAUCACACCAUGUAUCAGCCAUGGGUAAAUUACAAUUAAGGGCCUUUGACCACUGAGAACGUGAAGGAGGAAGGGAGCAGAUUAACACCAAAGCAAAUACCUGAAAAGAUUGGAGCAACUGAGCUUGAUUUAAUGCUUAAUCAGAUCCAGAAGAGCCCUGACCUACAUAUUGACAGCAUCCCUGGGCUGCAGGCGCAGCCAGUUGAGCAGCCAUGCAGCCACAGGGGAAGAGAGUUUAACAUGCUGAAUGUGAGGAAGCAGCCUCCUGGAUGCAGCCCUGCAUCUGCUCCACAGCCUCACAUUCCACUUUGACAGAGAAACAGGAUUUUUUUUAGCUGCUGGUGGUGAUUUAGAGACUAUGGAGGUAACACACUGAUUAUUUUUCAAUACAAAUGUGAUGUGGCAUUGUCAAAGUCUAAUGGCAAUCAGGCUUGAAAGAGCUCAGCUUUGCUCCAUCAACAAGUUGGAAAAAUCCACAGAAGUCAUCCUGAAUUCACUGAACCAAGGAGAGCAAGCCAGGGAGAGAGCCAGGUAUGACCAUGGAAUCUGAAAAAGAACCUAAUCUACAUGUAGGGGAGAAUGAGACUUGCUGCAAAAAUCAUCCCUUUUUUUCAGGAAUACAAAAGAUGAAGAACGUUUUUUAAAACAAGCAGCCACAUCAAAUUUUAAAAUAAUUGAACUGAUUGGUUCAGUGUAAAACCAGAAAACAUCAGAAUUAUUCAUGUGAGAGAGAUGGUAGAAGGACACUGGCGAGCUCAAAGGCCUGGGCCACUGUUUUUUAAAGCAGUCUUGGAACAAUGCAGCAGCAGAAGAGGAAAAUUCUUGUUCUUAGUACAAGUCUGAAAAAGCUAAUUAUAUAAAAAGCUAAUUACUGCA